CGGAAACAUUCCAAUUCAGAAUUCCUAACUAGUAUAUAAUCUGUACGUGCAUCACUCUUAAUUUUCACCCUUAAAAUUGAGUGAACGUGUUUCUUUUAUGGACCUGUGUACUAUCCACAUUUUGGUAUACUUCUGGUGAUUUCUUUACUUCGCGUAGGCGUUCAGAACGGCGCUACAGUUGAUAAAUGAAAGGACUUAUCCUUGUCUAUUUUAUGCGGGACCAUGGAGCCGCACAAAUUCUCCUUUAAAAGAAUCUGUUCAGGAAGGCGACUUCAAGCAUUUGCGUCAAUUAUAGCGGCGCUAAAUGCGGUAUCAGAUGGAAUGCAUAUCGGUUGGUCUUCACCUAUAAUCCCCCGAUUACUUUCACCAUCAUCGCCCAUCCCAGUCACAAGGGAAGAUGUACCUUGGUUGGAGAAUAGUUAUAUGGUGGGAGUUUUAGUGGCAGUAAUACCUUUGGCCUAUUUAUCGGAUCAAAUCGGGCGCAAAAUGACAAUACUUGUAGCUUGCGUUAUUCAACUAUCGGCAUGGGUGCUUUUCAUAUUUGCAACAACACCAACAGCACUAAUAAUUGCACGUCUCUUAGCAGGAAUUGGAGGACAAGUUAAUUAUAUAACCACGCCAGUUUAUGUUACUGAAAUAUCUGAUAAAGGUAUACGGGGUCGGUUAGGAUCCAUCGUUUUCAUCAUGGGACCUAUUGGAAUUUUAACGGUGUAUGCCCUUGGAGCUUAUACUGCGACCAUUAACACGUAUAUUUUCGGAGCAGCUCUUGUAGUUAUCAUCUUGUUAAUAUUCCCUAUGAUGCCAGAAAGUCCAUACUACCUAUUGCUUAAAGACAAAAAAGAGGAAGCUAGAACACAACUAAUGCGGUUACGUUCAGUGGAGAAUGUGGACGAAGAGAUAGACGACAUGAUCAUUGUCGCAUGUGGGGUUGACAUGAGCAUCAAACGUUUUAUCUCCAUCUUUACAGCCAAGGGGAAUUUAAAGGCGCUCAUAAUAACAAUGGUUCUCAACGCUUCCAACAAUUUCAGUGGGUUUAUUGUGUUAAUGAUGAAUAUGGAAACUAUUUUUUCGGAACUAACAGCGAAUAUCUCAGCAAGCACAUUUGGCGUUCUGAUCGCAGUGGUUGUAAUAAUUUCAAGUUUGAUAGGUGCCUCAUUAUUGGACUGCCUGGGAAGGAGAAUGCUGCUAAUCCUCUCAUGCUUCCUCACAUCGGCUUUCCUGAUGUUUAUAGCGAUAUAUCUUACAGCAAAAGGCAACGGCUGGGAUCUGACCCACUUCAGUUGGGUACCGAUUGUGGCGAUCGUUGGGCACGGAGUUACCCAAAAAGGGGGCAUAGGACUGAUUCCGAUCUUACUGUCUGCAGAAAUAUUUCCCAGGAACUUAACGGCUAUGGGGUGCGCCUUUGGUUCCAUGCUGUACAGUGUUAGCGGUAUCGCGUCCUUGCUUAUAUACCAGUACGCAAAUGCAUAUAUUGGUGUAAAUGCACCAUUCUACAUUUUUGGGGCCUACAUGUUAUUUGCGGGAACAUUUUGCGUAUUCAUGGUACCGGAAACAAAGAAGAAAUCGUUACACGAAACUCAAGAAUUAUGUAAUCAGAAAGUAGGUGAACAGGACAGUAGAGUACAACAUUGCUAACUUGUAAACAUUCAUCAUGCAGGUACCAAUGGAAUAAAAAUUAGAAUGUCAUGGUAUUAGUGCCAUUGCUCGUAAGUGAAUAAAUUUACAUGUGCAUCUUGUUUUAUUUAAUCCCAAUCGCUAAUCUAACAAGACGGGACUUCUCAUUUUGCACAGAAUAUUAGACAAUUCUUGG
Photinus pyralis (common eastern firefly) is the source of this 1810-nucleotide RNA transcript. It is a transcript of the gene named facilitated trehalose transporter Tret1-like, with no coding region annotated. The transcript is spliced from 4 exons. NCBI's taxonomy places the organism in Eukaryota, Metazoa, Arthropoda, Insecta, Coleoptera, Lampyridae. The record is from RefSeq and is a predicted model, not a curated record.